This 351-nucleotide ribosomal RNA is filed under the name uncultured fungus. RNAcentral describes it as "SSU rRNA". It matches the Rfam family "Eukaryotic small subunit ribosomal RNA", at positions 1326 to 1698 of the family's 1831-position model. The record is from RNAcentral. Lineage: Eukaryota; Fungi.
CGAUAACGAACGAGACCUUAACCUACUAAAUAGUACUGCUAGCAUUUGCUGGUAUAGUCACUUCUUAGAGGGACUAUCGAUUUCAAGUCGAUGGAAGUUUGAGGCAAUAACAGGUCUGUGAUGCCCUUAGACGUUCUGGGCCGCACGCGCGCUACACUGACGGAGCCAGCGAGUAUAAACCUUGGCCGAGAGGUCUGGGAAAUCUUGUGAAACUCCGUCGUGCUGGGGAUAGAGCAUUGUAAUUGUUGCUCUUCAACGAGGAAUUCCUAGUAAGCGCAAGUCAUCAGCUUGCGUUGAUUACGUCCCUGCCCUUUGUACACACCGCCCGUCGCUACUACCGAUUGAAUGGCU